UACGGGGGGGGCAAGCGUUGUUCGGAAUUACUGGGCGUAAAGGGCUCGUAGGCGGUUUGUCGCGUCGGGAGUGAAAACACCGGGCUUAACUCGGUGCUUGCUUUCGAUACGGGCAGACUAGAGGCAUGCAGGGGAGAACGGAAUUCCUGGUGUAGCGGUGAAAUGCGCAGAUAUCAGGAGGAACACCGGUGGCGAAGGCGGUUCUCUGGGCAUGUCCUGACGCUGAGGCACGAAAGUGUGGGGAUCAAACAGG
Molecule: ribosomal RNA, 253 nt
Filed under: uncultured bacterium
Lineage: Bacteria
Description: partial 16S ribosomal RNA
Rfam family: Bacterial small subunit ribosomal RNA
Source: RNAcentral